Molecule: long non-coding RNA, 851 nt
Filed under: Nicotiana tabacum (common tobacco)
Lineage: Eukaryota; Viridiplantae; Streptophyta; Magnoliopsida; Solanales; Solanaceae
Description: long non-coding RNA (NTAB_LNC001846)
Source: RNAcentral
CAGAGAUUUAUUUUCCUUUUCAUCUAAUUCUGCUGUAAAAAGGUAUGUGCCACAUGACUGCAGUACCUAUUUAAGCACAUGAAUAAAGCCUGAGUGUCAGUAGAUUUGUUUAAAGCUUUCUAUGUGUGUUAAUCGUUUGUUUAAGCUACAUAACUGCACUAAAUUUUUCUCUGAUUUAGUUUCCUAUUUAAUGUUAAAUAUGUAGUUUAAACAGGAAUUGAUUUUACUUAAUAUCAUAUUGAUUGUAUCUUCAACUAGAAAUGAUCCAUCACUGAUAUACAUGUCAAAACUGCUCCAAAAUGCUUUUUGUUGUCGUCAUAUGAAUUAAUCUAAGAUUGCUUUGGGUUGAAAUAUCCAAGGAUUCAGGUUAUGAAUGGCUUUUGGGUGUUAGAUGUGUGAAGAACAAAAGCACAAGUGGAAUUAUAUUAGCAUUUAGUCAUAUAUUUUUUUGAGUUAAAAUUAUAUUCUAUUGAUACUCAAAAAUUCUGUACAAUUUGAGUCCUAGUAGCAGCUUUGACAGACUACUAUCAUUUACAUCACAAUUUGCUAUUUAACACUUUGUGUCUAUCAAUCUAUAUUACUUCUCAAUACAUACACUAUUCUAAUCAACUCCUAUUAUGUUCCUACUCUUAGUUGUAUCUUGGAUUCCAAUUCAGCUGCUGUAUUGUGCCCUUCCAUUUGCUGAUGUUCUUCCAUCUGACAUGUAUGUGCAACACUAUCUCUCUGCAUAUUUGAAGUUUAUCAUACUUGGCUUUAUCAAACCUGAUUUCGUUUCUCUCCCUCCAAUUUAUUGCAACAAUUAUGGCAAAAAUACAGCUGGUGAUAGCAUUUAUUCCUUUCCUGCUUUUAGC